GUUGCCUGUGAAACGAAUCUAAGUUCCCUCUUAAUUUUACCCCCAGGAUAUUAACCAACCCACACGUAAAAAUUAAGAGCAAUUUAAAGGAGGUACAUCUCCUUUAAAAAAGAAUACAAUCUCCACCAGAGGAUAAGCCUUAACUUCCUCCGCAUCUGUGGGCCUUCAAGCAGCCACCAGCAAAGAGUGCGUCAAAGCUCUAUAUUACGAAAAUACAACAACACAUACGACUCCCUCACCCAUAACAGGCCAACCUAUCAAAAAUAGGAGCAUUAAUGCUAGAAUAAGUAACCAAGGAACUUCCUUCUAAAGCACAAACUUACAUCACACAUUAUUAACAGAAUCACUAAUACCCCCACCACUACAAGACCAAGUAUUUAACAUGACUGUUAGACCAACUCAGGAGUGCUCAGUUAGAAAGAUUCAAACCUGUAAAAGGAACUAGGCAAGCCCAAGGCCCGACUGUUUACCAAAAACACAGCCUUCAGCGAACUAAGUAUUGAAGGUGACGCCUGCCCAGUGACACAAAGUUCAACGGCCGCGGUAUCCUAACCGUGCAAAGGUAGCGCAAUCAAUUGUCCCAUAAAUCGAGACUUGUAUGAAUGGCCAAACGAGGUCUUAACUGUCUCUUACAGGUAAUCAGUGAAAUUGAUCUUCCCGUGCAAAAGCGGGAAUAAGCCCAUAAGACGAGAAGACCCUGUGGAACUUAAAAACCAGCAGCCACUCCAAAUCAAAAUCAAAGCCAACCUGGCCCACUACUCAAGGACAUUGGCCUGCAUUUUUUCGGUUGGGGCGACCUUGGAGAAAAACAAAUCCUCCAAAAAUAAGACAACCACUCUUCACCAAGAUCAACCGCUCA
Molecule: ribosomal RNA, 859 nt
Filed under: Coturnicops noveboracensis (yellow rail)
Lineage: Eukaryota; Metazoa; Chordata; Aves; Gruiformes; Rallidae
Description: partial 16S ribosomal RNA
Rfam family: Bacterial large subunit ribosomal RNA
Source: RNAcentral